UGAGGCUAGAACUCGAUUUGUUCCAAAAAGCGCCACACAAAGGGGCAAAAACAAACCAAGCGGGCAAGGCUGAAGCGGCACGGAUCCCGCGAACCGGUUGAGCACUCACUUCAAUGUGAGCGACCCCCCCCACCCCGGUCGCCAUACUAGCACUAAAUACUAACUACCCCGCUCCUCUUGCCUUACCCCCUCCCCCUCUCCAGCCGCGGCCCCGCAGUGCAGCGCGCGCCGCACACGCGGCUCUGGUGCCGCUGCGACCGUUUAAAUUCAAACUCCAGAGCCUCAACGGCAGGGUCGCCACUCGACCCUCCGGGGUGGGGGAAGGGAGAAAAGGAAAAGAAAGAGGGAGGACAAGAGAGAAAAGACUCUACGCUAACAUCACCUCGAGAUGCGCGGCGGACAGGCUAGGCCCACUCAAACAUGUGGCUUUUUGUUCUGAAUAACUUUGGGGAGGCGUGGGUCCAAGGGAGGGGAAAGGCGGGGGAUACGAAGUAAAGGAAGUGAGCACCUCCCCUCCCGACCCCACAAAACGAGAGUGGGAGACACCAAACGGAGUCAGAAUGAAGAAAGACUUAGAGGCAACGGAGCAAUAGGCGGCGAAGACCUUUUAAGUCUGAACCACCCCCGCUAUUACCUCUACCUCUCCGUACCUUCACCCUUUAAGAAGGCCCCGCUUUGUGACGCGGCCGAGCAUCCCUGACGACCCCAUGUUGAACCGACUUAGGCACCCGGACCCGACGCCGUGGCUCUGCCUCCCUUUCCCCACUUAAAAAAGUGAAAAGAAAAAGCCCGCCCCUCUCCGUUCGUGGAAAUAGCGACGGCGCCAACUCCAAAAAAAAUAAAUAAAUAAACAAGCCAGUAAGCGGACAGGCAGCGAGAACGCUGAGCGCGGAGCAAGCAGGCCCAGGCUGCAAGGAAAACCUGGAAAGGAGGAAAGAAAGAGAGAAGGCCACGAGGAACAAAACCGUCAAAGAAAGAAGAUUAUAUAGCCGAGCGAAAUGGAAAGGGCAGAAGCGAGUUCCCAACACACAUACAUACCAACACCAAGAGGACAAGCGGACGGGCAUUCAAGAAAUGCUGCCCUGCCAGCUACAGCAACUUCAUGAGAAAGAGUCACAGACAUCUGAAUAAGAAUCAUAUCACUUGAACCGAAACUUAUGGGCAUCAACGCAGCAGGUGUCAGUGGGAUGUUCACAACCCCUAAAGAGAAACUGGUUGCUCCAACAGAAAGGACUCUUCCACCUCUGAGCACGUGAAUUCUCAGAGGAAAUAUUGGUAAGACUGCCUCUCCCACCCUCUGCCAGUUCAGGUACUGGCAGCUUGGUGGGAACAUCAAGUGUCGAAUAGGUGGCAGCAUCAGCUGGUGAGCAGCUGAGGACAAAAACUUCAUACCUGGAUAAGGAAGAAAUGCUGAGCACCUCUGGCAUUCAGAGGACUUGAAUGCACAUGCUCAAACCCAGGACUGUGUGAUGUUAGCAACUGAGGUCUUGGUCCAAGCACAGGAGCAACAGACAAGUAUGUGGGAGGUGUGGGAGAAAUCUUGAUUAUGUUUAAACAAAAUGUCAGCAGUUGAAUGUAUAUUGUACAAGGUACUUGAGUAGAAACUGUGUAGCUGCAGAAAGCAUGGGCAGAAUGCUCCAACAAAAGGCAGGACUGACCACUAAAAUGGCAAGAACCCUGGUGCUUGAAUAAGAUGAAUGGGUGAAAGUGAGAGGAUGGGAGCAGGUAUAAAAGUAUAAAUAUGUAAGGCCCGUGUGGGCAGUUAGAAUCAGAAGGAA
Molecule: long non-coding RNA, 1778 nt
Organism: Hemiscyllium ocellatum (epaulette shark)
Lineage: Eukaryota; Metazoa; Chordata; Chondrichthyes; Orectolobiformes; Hemiscylliidae
Exons: 3
Source: RefSeq, a predicted model, not a curated record